This 4072-nucleotide long non-coding RNA is filed under the name Triticum aestivum (bread wheat). RNAcentral's name for it is "long non-coding RNA (TAES_LNC000173)". Lineage: Eukaryota; Viridiplantae; Streptophyta; Magnoliopsida; Poales; Poaceae. The record is from RNAcentral.
UUUUUUUUUCUUCUCUCUUUUUUUUACUCACACUUUUUUUUCUUUCUCUUUUUUUUUCUGACUUCUUUUUCUUUUUUUUGUCUGUCUUUUUUUUCUCUCCCUCUUUCCAAGACAAACUAGAUAAGAUGCAGAUUGGAUCAAGCGAAGAUGUGAACGACCUCAACUAUGAUUGUGACAAUGAACUAUGGGUAGCACAUGGUGGAAUUUGAUGGAUGGUGUGGUGGACAGCAGAAGGGAUAACGAUGCAGCGGCGACGUGACUAAUGUGAACAGAACUCGAAACUCUAAACGAACUAGACCCUAAGACCAGCAACUCGACACGACGAUGCAACCGAUAAUUCAAUAAUGCAAACAAUGAAUAGAAAAUUGCAAAGGCUCAGACUGGCUUGGACAAAAGGAUGAAUAGAUCUAACUUUUUUGUGGCUUUUUCUUGGACAAUAGGUAAGAAAAAUAAAUCUAAUCUAGGGGAAACUGGAAAUUCUCACCGAGCAACUUGAAAACUGAUACCACUUGAUAGAGGCGAGGGUGUCCCGAUCUUUCGAUGAGAUGAUAACUAUCGAUUUGGUGGAGACGACUUUGACGAUCCGACUACAAACGUGCACGACGUUGCGCCUUAUCAAUCGCUAAACCAAUCUCCUGAGGUUACUGACGAUGCCGGAAGCACGAUCAGCCUGACCACGAAGGUCUAUUCCUGCAAGCAAUCGAAGAACGAGCAAGAAUAUGAUAAUGCAAUCUGAAUAUUGCGAAUAUAUAUGAAGUAUUGAUAGUGGUGGGAAUCCGUAAGCGGUCUUGGUCUGGUCGUUGGACACAAACGAAGUACACGAAGUUGCAAUGGCUAACUUUUAACUAAACAAAUUCCCAGGAAAAAGCUACUAGAUGGAUCUACUUAUAUAGGAGCAAGGGGUGGCGGCCAAGGAGGUGGGAGGACGUCCCAAGGCAGCCUAAAACCAACCCUAGGUCGUACAAGGCUCAUGGGCCCAAGUGGAGGUGAUGCAACACCUUUGGACUUGUAGUUUGACUCGGAUUCUGGUGCAACGUCAGAUUGUUUCGACCAUAACUCAAUGCUCCGGACGAAUUUAAAGGUGAAUCCAAUUGGGUUGGAAAGAGCACGAAAUCUAGUUUCCAACAAAAAAAUAAUCACCCAAUUCGGAGUCCGUAUGAAAAAGUUGUUGGCGUUUUGAGUCAGGUAUGUCUGUGCAGUCCGAAUCUGAAUCCAGAACGUGAGAGACUUGGACUCUAUCUUCUCUUGGCCCAAAAGUGACGUGAGAGGACUUUUUGAACAGAACCUAAACUUCUCCUUUUUCCCUAUCUUCAUAUGUGGAUUGUACAAAUGUCCCAUACACCUGCAAUUAGACAAAACACAAAAGUGUGUGAAGUAUUUUUGUUCUGGAUAACAUAAAUAGAUUAUUGAAUAGUUUGCACUAGAAAUCACCUGACAAAUAUGCAUGUAUGCAAUAUUUUUGGUCGUAUCCAAGGUAGUCAUGUCCUCAUCAUCCUCCCCUUCUUGAAAACAAAGCCGUCCUCGGCGUUGCUUAAUCUGAAAUCUGGCUAACAAAAGAGACAAGGUGUACACGUUGUAUAUGUACAUGUCAUCCGUUUUUACUGAUCUCAUUUGGUGCACAUGUGACUCAGUUAUACAAGAGCGCCCUUCAAAAGUCGUGAAAUGUAAAGUCAAUAUAUUAUCACAAGAAGUCAAAGGCAUGAAAAUAUUGCAACUCAGUUUGCACAUAUAAGUGAAGCUCUUAUUCAUAUCAAAAGAUUGACAAUGCUUAUCAUUAAACCAUCCCAACAUUGAUGAACCAUCACCAAGAUUAGAGGUCAUAUCAAAAUGAUUAAACAUUGGCACAAUUAUUUUCAAACAUAUUUGAUCCAAAUCUGAUUUAUUCCCUGAUUCACUUGAUUCUUUUGCAUCGAUAGUUAAUUCAAUGGGCUCACUCAAAAUUGUUUGAUCACAUGGCAAAGUCAAAUCAUCAACAUAGUCCUCUAAGGUAGCUGGUGUGAUCAAAGUAGUGGGUAGCUCACCGCAUGGUGCACUUAAAUUGACAAGACAUUCAUCAUACUCAUGUGGAAGUGGAAGAUUAGUACCUUUGUCAUUACCUCUUAUGAUCAACUCAGAUGAGGUAGGCACUCUCGGUGAUGAUGUGUCACAUGGUGGAGGUGAUGUAGUCCUCACAACAACGGAUGUGCUUGUCAUAGUAUGCUUAGUAGUUGAAGGGACAACUGUAUCAACUCUUGGAAUGUGCAUCUCGCGCUUGUUCUCCUUGUGCGCAACACGUCGUUUUAUUUCCUGUUCAGCUUUGCAAGCAAGAUGAAACAAAUGGUCCAUAGGAUAACACUCUUCAUGUAUUAGUAUCUCCUGAAUGUCAAGAUUUAAUCCUCCCCAAAAUCUAUCCAUAAAAUCUUCUUCACUUUCUUCUAAAGAGGAAUGCAGCAAGGUAGUUUGUAAAGUAUCAUAAUAUUUCGUUACGGUGUCACUACCUUGUUUUAAAUGUUGCAACUUUGUAAUCGUGUCACGAGUAUAAUAAGCGGGAACGAAUGUAUGUCGCAUGGCAAGUUUCAAAUCAUCCCAAGUAGUAGGUAUAUCAUUAGGGUGUAACCGACAAUAUUCACUCCACCAAACUACAGCAUAACCAGUGAAAGAACCAACCGCAACCUUAACUUUUUUACGUACAUCAAAAUUAUUGGAAGCAAAUAUAUUAUUUAGGUCAAACUCCCAUUCAAUAUAUAAAGCAGGUCUAAAACGGCCAUUAAAUGGUGGUAUAGAAACAUUAACCUGAUCAUGUGCAUUUGGAUGUUUGUGCACCUCUCGUGACGGUUGUGGUAUUUGCAUAGGUGAUGGCACAUCUCCCACGAUCGACAAACCCCAUGAAUUAACUCUAGAUCCUGUCAUGAUUAGUAGAAACAAGAAACAAAAUUCAAGAAUAAUGUUCCUAUGAACUACUAGGAUGUGGUGGUAAAGCGCUCACAGUAAAGCAAAUAUCAAUAUCUUACAAGUUCUUACCAAGCAGCAGGUGGUGACAGGCAACCAGCGGUGUCAAAUAACUCCAAAGAUUGAGUAAAGCGAUUGCCAGGGGAACGUACGUAUACACGGUGUAGAAAUAUGUGGAGCUGGGUUGGCUAUAUAUGGUAGCAAAAUAUUAGCAAUAAUCAAUUCAGAGAUGCAAUGUUGAAUAAACGCUCAACGACGGUACUGUGCUGGUCCUAGGCUAGACCGGACUAGAGACGCGAGCCUAGAACACUAAUGAGGUCACGGCAUAGCACAACUAGCAUCAAUGAAGGAUACUAAGUAGCUCUGGACAGCAAGAUAUAAUUGAAGAUCACAACGGCAGUAAAGAUAAUGAUGAAAAACAACUGCCAAGCAGGAUAUACAACAACUCUCUCCAACUUUCCUCUUGAAAAGUUUGUGCCAAUUUUCUGAUAAUUUUUUUCAAAGAAUGCUACUAACUCAAGCUUUCCAAUGCAAAAAGAAUCUCUCAAUUCCGAGUUGAUAUGAGGAGUGAAAGAAUUCUGAAACUGGCUUGAAAAACUGGAAUCAGUUGUGUCCGCGAACUUCGGAGGGCAAAAAGACCUAUUUAGAAGACGAUUUUGAGGUGUCAAAUAUUGAACUAGUCUCUGCAACUAUUUAGAUGCGGCUCGUCGCUAGCUUUCAUUUGAGUACUCGCGGAGUCAAACGGACUUCGUAUGAGGAAGGUAUGCCUGUUUUACUAAACAGUGCACAAAACAGAUUCCAAUCCGAAUUCAACUACGAGAUUGAGUCUAGAUAGAUCCGAAUUUUGUUUUUUUCUUCUCUUUUUUUUCCUCACACUUUUUUUUCUUUCUCUUUUUUUUCUGACUUCUUUUUCUUUUUUUUCUCUCUUUUUUUUUCUCUGUCUUUUUUUUCUCUCCCUCUUUCCAAGACAAACUAGAUAAGAUGCAUAUUGGAUCAAGCGAAGAUGUGAACGACCUCAACUAUGAUUGUGACAAUGAAAUAUGGGUAGCACAUUGAUGAGGACAUCAAUACCAUUGUUACACCCACAGCCCCUGCUGCUAUACAUACUGGACCAAUUACUAGAGCUCGCGCACGCCAAUUAAAU